UUGUGAUUAAUAAAUUAUUUAUUGGAAAUCUGUUUUCCUUGCAAGAAAGCAUAUUCAGUGUGAACUUCUGAUUCAAGCAGAAUAAAUUAUAAUUAUCAAAUUCUGCUUAUAUAUUCUAUUUUCUUCUAGCAGCAAAACAGUGAAUAUUCCUUAGAAAGCUACAUUUUACUGAAAAGCACAAAGAAGCAAAUAAAGUAUAUAAAAAUAAAAAAACAUUUCUCAACUCAGAUGUCCUGGGUCAGAGAUUUGUCCUGUCAGGAAACUUGCUUCUUAAAGGAUACAGGAAAAAGCUGUGAAUAUUAAGAGCAUAAGCUUUGGAAACAGAAAAGUUAACCUCUAUAACUUAAAUGUAAAUAAAUGACUGUGCCUCUACACUUAAUAGUUUACAUUACAUAUAAAGUAAUAUAAAUAUAAAAUACAAACUAUGUGAUCUUUAGAGGGAGAAAGUCACUUUAGAGAGAGAAAAUUUAGGGACUGUGUUUCUAAACUUCAGUUGGGUGUAUCACCUAACUCAUAAAACGGUGAUGAAGUUCAGAUGAGA
This 541-nucleotide long non-coding RNA is filed under the name Bos taurus (domestic cattle). RNAcentral describes it as "long non-coding RNA NONBTAT019048". The record is from RNAcentral. Lineage: Eukaryota; Metazoa; Chordata; Mammalia; Artiodactyla; Bovidae.